AUUGAACGCUGGCGGCAUGCUUUACACAUGCAAGUCGAACGGUAACAGGUUAAGCUGACGAGUGGCGAACGGGUGAGUAAUGCAUCGGAACGUGCCCGAUCGUGGGGGAUAACGCAGCGAAAGCUGCGCUAAUACCGCAUACGAUCUGAGGAUGAAAGCGGGGGACCGUAAGGCCUCGCGCGAUCGGAGCGGCCGAUGUCAGAUUAGGUAGUUGGUGGGGUAAAGGCUCACCAAGCCAACGAUCUGUAGCUGGUCUGAGAGGACGACCAGCCACACUGGGACUGAGACACGGCCCAGACGCCUACGGGAGGCAGCAGUGGGGAAGUUUGGACAAUGGGCGAAAGCCUGAUCCAGCCAUGCCGCGUGCAGGAUGAAGGCCUUCGGGUUGUAAACUGCUUUUGUACGGAACGAAAAGGUUUGGCCUAAUAAGCUGAGCUCAUGACGGUACCGUAAGAAUAAGCACCGGCUAACUCUGUGCCAGCCGCCGCAGUAA
RNAcentral lists this ribosomal RNA (493 nucleotides) under uncultured bacterium. Its description in RNAcentral is "partial 16S ribosomal RNA". It matches the Rfam family "Bacterial small subunit ribosomal RNA", at positions 30 to 523 of the family's 1533-position model. The record is from RNAcentral.